AGAGAGAGAGAGAACUCACCCCAUAAAUAACAUUUUAAAGAAAGGGUCUUGCUAAAUUGUCCAGACUGGCCUUCAACUCCUGGGCUCAUGAAACCCUCCUUCCUCAGUAUCUGGGACUAGAGGUGUGUGCUAUGGCGCCCAGCUUUAAUGCAUUUUUAAAGAUCACAAUGAAGGCAAAAAAAGAAUCCAUGAUGAACAAAAUAUCAACAUUGUAAAUAGAGAGAGGAUUAGAAUUACUGAUUUUUUUCCUUUUGCCUUAGGCUAUAAUAUGGCUCAGCACGCCACCAUUACUGAUCCUGUCUUUAUUUAAAAUGUUGAUAUUUAGUUCAUCAUGGAUUUUGCAUUAAUUUUUUGAAAAAUACUGCUUUAA
This 370-nucleotide long non-coding RNA is filed under the name Marmota monax (woodchuck). Lineage: Eukaryota; Metazoa; Chordata; Mammalia; Rodentia; Sciuridae. The record is from RNAcentral.